Pelobates cultripes (western spadefoot toad) is the source of this 125-nucleotide non-coding RNA. The record is from the annotation of a GenBank genome assembly. Lineage: Eukaryota; Metazoa; Chordata; Amphibia; Anura; Pelobatidae.
CACACACACACAGCAGUGUAUGUGUGUGUGUGUGUGUAUGUUUAUAUAUAUGUAUAUGUGUGUGUGUAUACAUAUAUAUAUAUAUAUAUAUACACACACAUACAUAUACACGCGGUGUGUGUUUG